RNAcentral lists this ribosomal RNA (421 nucleotides) under uncultured bacterium. Its description in RNAcentral is "partial 16S ribosomal RNA". It matches the Rfam family "Bacterial small subunit ribosomal RNA", at positions 360 to 774 of the family's 1533-position model. The record is from RNAcentral.
AAUCUUCCGUAAGGGACGCAAGUCUGACGGAGCAACGCCGCGUGAGUGAUGAAGGCUUUCGGAUCGUAAAGCUCUGUUGCUUGGGAAGAAUAGUCUUGGGAGUAACUGCCCAAGUUGUGACCGUACCUGAGAAGAAAUCCCCGGCUAACUACGUGUCAGCAGCCGCGGUUAUACGUAGGGGGCAAGCGUUGUGCUGUAUUAUUGGGCGUAAAGGGCACGCAGGAGGUGGUUUAAGUUUGGUUGUUAAUCCCAGGGCUCAACCCUGGUACGCACUGAAAACUGGAUCACUUGAGUGCAGAAGAGGAGAGUGGAAUUCCACGUGUAGCGGUGAAAGGCGUAGAGAUGUGGAGGAACGCCAGUGGAGAAGGCGACUCUCUGGUCUGUAACUGACGCUGAGGUGCGAAAGCGUGGGUAGCAAACA